UUCCCGAAAUUACGAGAGGGGGCACGAACCUAGGUCAGCGCGGUCGUCGGCGGCGCGGGCUCCCGCUCACGGUUGCAGGUGGCAGCGCGGUAAGGGAGGCGGGAGGAGGGAGCCGUCGCUGAGCCCGCUGGCGAGGAGGCCGAGGGACGGGCCGGGCGAGGAGGCCGAGGGAGGAGGCUGAGCUCCGCCAUAUGCACGGGUCGGGCGCGCGAGGACGCUCGGGCUCCUCCCGCUUCUCCUCCAGAGGCCUCCUCCUCAGGUUGAUGCAGAUCAUCCUGGCCAUGUCGUGGUCGUCGAUGGUGGGAUGGGGGCGGCGGUGGAUCGAGAUCUGAGGGAGGGAGAUGGGGAUCUAGGGGAGGGGAGGGCGCCGUCGGGAGGAGGAAUGCAAUGAGAGGUUAG
Molecule: long non-coding RNA, 399 nt
Filed under: Hordeum vulgare
Lineage: Eukaryota; Viridiplantae; Streptophyta; Magnoliopsida; Poales; Poaceae
Description: long non-coding RNA (HVUL_LNC006489)
Source: RNAcentral